RNAcentral lists this ribosomal RNA (440 nucleotides) under uncultured bacterium. RNAcentral describes it as "partial 16S ribosomal RNA". It matches the Rfam family "Bacterial small subunit ribosomal RNA", at positions 338 to 795 of the family's 1533-position model. The record is from RNAcentral.
CCUACGGGUGGCAGCAGUGGGGAAUAUUGCACAAUGGGGGAAACCCUGAUGCAGCGACGCCGCGUGAGUGAAGAAGUAAUUCGUUAUGUAAAGCUCUAUCAGCAGGGAAGAAAAUGACGGUACCUGAGUAAGAAGCCCCGGCUAAAUACGUGCCAGCAGCCGCGGUAAUACGUAUGGUGCAAGCGUUAUCCGGAUUUACUGGGUGGAAAGGGAGCGCAGGCGGCGCGUUAAGCCUGGUGUGAAAGCCCGCGGCCCAACCGCGGGACUGCAUUGGGAACGGGCGCGCUGGAGUGCCGGAGGGGUAGGCGGAAUUCCUAGUGUAGCGGUGAAAUGCGUAGAUAUUAGGAGGAACACCAGUGGCGAAGGCGGCCUACUGGACGGUGACUGACGCUGAGGCUCGAAAGCGUGGGGAGCAAACAGGAUUAGAUACCCUGGUAGUC